UAAGGAAUAUUGGUCAAUGGACGCAAGUCUGAACCAGCCAUGCCGCGUGAAGGAUUAAGGUCCUCUGGAUUGUAAACUUCUUUUAUCUGGGACGAAAAAAGGCGAUUCUUCGUCACUUGACGGUACCAGAUGAAUAAGCACCGGCUAACUCCGUGCCAGCAGCCGCGGUAAUACGGAGGGUGCAAGCGUUAUCCGGAUUCACUGGGUUUAAAGGGUGCGUAGGCGGGUAGGUAAGUCAGUGGUGAAAUCCUGGAGCUUAACUCCAGAACUGCCAUUGAUACUAUCUAUCUUGAAUAUUGUGGAGGUAAGCGGAAUAUGUCAUGUAGCGGUGAAAUGCUUAGAUAUGACAU
Molecule: ribosomal RNA, 350 nt
Filed under: uncultured bacterium
Lineage: Bacteria
Description: bacterial SSU rRNA
Rfam family: Bacterial small subunit ribosomal RNA
Source: RNAcentral